This 602-nucleotide ribosomal RNA is filed under the name uncultured bacterium. RNAcentral's name for it is "bacterial SSU rRNA". It matches the Rfam family "Bacterial small subunit ribosomal RNA", at positions 8 to 583 of the family's 1533-position model. The record is from RNAcentral.
AGACUUUGAUUAUGGCUCAGAUUGAACGCUGGCGGCAGGCCUAACACAUGCAAGUCGAGCGGUAGCACAGAGAAGCUUGCUUCUUGGGUGACGAGCGGCGGACGGGUGAGUAACGCGUGGGAAUCUACCUGGUAGUGGGGGACAACAGUCGGAAACGACUGCUAAUACCGCAUACGCCCUUCGGGGGAAAGUGGGGGAUCUUCGGACCUCACGCUAUCAGAUGAGCCCGCGUCGGAUUAGCUUGUUGGUGAGGUAAAGGCUCACCAAGGCGAUGAUCCGUAGCUGGUCUGAGAGGAUGACCAGCCACACUGGGACUGAGACACGGCCCAGACUCCUACGGGAGGCAGCAGUGGGGAAUAUUGGACAAUGGGGGCAACCCUGAUCCAGCCAUGCCGCGUGUGUGAAGAAGGCCUUCGGGUUGUAAAGCACUUUCAGCUGUGAGGAAAGGCCGAGUGGUUAAUACCCGCUUGCUGUGACGUUAACAGCCAGAAGAAGGACCGGCUUAACUUCCGUGGCCAGCCAGCCGCCGGUAAUACCGGGAGGGGUCCGAGCCGUUAAAUCCGGAAAUUACUUGGGGCGUUAAAAGCGCCGCGUUAGGUUGG